GCAGGCAGAAUGUGGCUGCCCUGAUAAUAUCGGGGAGGAAAGUCCGGGCUCCGGAGGAUAGCGUAAUGGGUAAUACCCAUCUGCGUUUUUUAAAAAAACGCACGGAUCCAGAGCCACAGAGACGAGUUCCGCUGUUUAUUUAGGCGGAGGUGAAACGAGGCAAUCUCUACGCGGAGCAAAGCGUAAAAUCCUUACCCAGGCUGCAGCAAUGCGGCAUAAAGGUGAUCCGCCUGAAUCUUUAUAGAAGCAAUUCUAUGGCUGGGCAAGAGGGUAGGCUGCUAAAGCCGUUUUAGUAAUAAAGCGGUUGAGAGGAAUAGCCACUAAUCGAUGUGGAUAAUCACAUCAAGACAGAACCCGGCUUAUUCUGCCUGCGUUU
This 376-nucleotide RNase P RNA is filed under the name Candidatus Omnitrophota bacterium. RNAcentral's name for it is "RNase P RNA component class A". It matches the Rfam family "Bacterial RNase P class A". Rfam says of the family: Ribonuclease P (RNase P) is a ubiquitous endoribonuclease, found in archaea, bacteria and eukarya as well as chloroplasts and mitochondria. Its best characterised activity is the generation of mature 5'-ends of tRNAs by cleaving the 5'-leader elements of precursor-tRNAs. The record is from RNAcentral. Lineage: Bacteria; Pseudomonadati; Candidatus Omnitrophota.